This is a long non-coding RNA of Micropterus dolomieu (smallmouth bass), 2344 nucleotides long. RefSeq lists it as uncharacterized. The transcript has 5 exons. NCBI's taxonomy places the organism in Eukaryota, Metazoa, Chordata, Actinopteri, Centrarchiformes, Centrarchidae. The record is from RefSeq and is a predicted model, not a curated record.
AGAGCAAGUGGGUAACCUGUGGGCUGCUUACAUUGCAAACAAAAGCCAGCUUGUCUUGGGAUCAUUGAGAGGAGAAAGUUAAUUUUUACACCGGUAUCGAUGGCUGGAAGGACCUGAAUAUAAAACUCUGAGAGGAAAGGCCAACACCAGCCCACCCAUCAACCCACUCCCCUCGUCUGAAAAACAAAAACAACAGAUGGGCUGUGCCAAGGAGACUGUGACUGCUCCUGGCCAUUACCACACUGUGUAGACAGUGAGUGGGAUGUUUUUCUUCCAGCCCUGAGGUUACCUUGGCAACCCAGGAGAAAGAAACGUGAUCGAAGGCUGUGCAAACGGAGGUGUAGGCCGAGUCAUGUCUUUUACAAGCUGCAGGGUCCAUCUCUGAGCCAGCCGGCCCAGUCAGCCAUCCAGCCAGCCAUAUGUCAGGAGACAUGGGCACCAGCCAAUAGUCCUUUCCAGUCAGGGCUUUCAAACCGAGACCUGCCACUGCUCAGGUCCUCCUCAGACAGACUGUCAGCGGGUGCAGCUACAGAGAAAGUUAAUGUGAAGCAUCAAAUCUCAGGAGGACCCUGCUGGCUUCAUACACUAUGACAAAUCCUACGCCCCCAUGGCUCUCUGGUUUAACAACUCUGAUGUUAUUUAACUUUAAUUCAAAGCCAUAAGUAGAGAAUAAUUUCUUAUUAAAGACAGGGUCAUUCAUGUGUCUUUAAUAUCAUAUUAUAUAUUUGAAAGAUAUAAGAUGACCACCAUUCCAACACCUGUUUUUGGAAAAAGACUAUCAAGCAGCUGUUAUUAUUUUUCAUACUGACUGUUUGAGCUCCUCAUCACGGCAUUCAGUGACAGCUGAAAUUCUCGUUUCCUUAAAAUGGGCUUCACAAACACUUACAGGACUGACUAAGCAGGAAUUCAGACUGAAAGUUAAAACAGUGCCGGGGAGCUGUGUUGGUGUGGAGCAUGUUGUUUAAGGUAUGAAUAAGACGAUACAAUUUGAUCCAGUUAGAAUAACAGAUUAUGUGGCGUAACUGUAAGACUACAUCCUACAUUUUCAAUUUCCGUCCACACCAGCGUUUUAGCUACGUAUCAGAAUUGAUCUCCAUCUGUGCUAAAACGACUGAAUAUGCACAUGAGAUGAACAUUCAUACAAAUCACGUGACCACUAACGUACACUGGGAAUACAUGUGUUGGUAUAAACAGGAAGCAGAUUGUUUACCCGCAGAGCAUUUGACGAUAGAAAAGCUGGUAGCAGAGACAUCAUGUUAGGAUUUGGUUUUUGUACUGUUGUUUUUCCGGUGUUUAUUUGAUAUUGUCUUGGUUUGGAGUUUUGUAAUCUAGUUUAUUAUUUUGGUUCUUUCGUUUUUAGUUUCUUAGUCACUGUCUUGUCUCUCAUCUUAGUUCUUCUUCCUGCACCUUGGUUCUUGUUUUUACUUCAGGUUCCUUGUCUACAUUAUUUUGGGUCUAGUCUCCUUUGUACUUUAGCUCUGUGUUCUCCUUUUGAGUUCUUGUUCAUUGUACAUGUGUGUUUCUGUCUUAUUGGUUAUUCUCUCUGCCCCAUGUCUGCUUGUCUAGUAUUCAGUAACCUUGCCUUGUCUGUUACUCCAGUGAUCCCUCUGCAUGUCUGUCUUUGUUUUCCCCUUCUCUCUCUCUGCCUGUGUGUCGCUCUCUCUCUCUCUCUCUCUGCCUCUCUCUCUGCCUGCCUGCCUGUCCCUCGUUAACCCUGAUCUCUGUCACCUGUGUUGCUCCCGCCCUGCUCGUUACUCCCUGUGUGUAUAUAUACCUGGUGUUUCUGUCUUGUCUUUCAUUACUUUCUAUGUGUGUUAUGAUCCCUCGUUGUAGGCCUACGCGUCGUGUUUCCCUGCACCAAUGGAUUUCUGUUUGGACAGCUUUUGUGUUUCUGGACUUUGUCAUCAGCCACUCAGUUUGUGGUCCAGGCUGAUUUAUGUUUACUUCUGGAGAGGGGUCAUGUCAUGACGAAUCAUGGAUAUGCCAUGACUGAUAUUACCAAAUUAGGAAGCCAAAUGUUUGAGAAGCUCCACAAGCGGCAGCAAUGUUAGCGGUGCCUGCCGGUCACGCCCACAGAGCCCUCUGGUCCCAGUUACACAGAGCAGUAACAACAGGAGAGGCCACAACUGCAAGAUAGUUUCCAUGUUCUGUCUCUAAAAUCUGAGAAAUGGAUUAUUUUAAAGUAACUCAAGAAACAUCUGGCUCAUGAUGUAGCCUACAGAACAUUCUCUGCUCAUAAACUUAUAAACACUUUGGGGAAAAAAAAUUUAAAAAACAGAAGUAUUAGGAAAGUGGAUUGUUGCUUUAUUCUGAAUAGACAUUAAAUUGUUGUUGUACAAUUAUA